RNAcentral lists this ribosomal RNA (497 nucleotides) under uncultured bacterium. RNAcentral describes it as "partial 16S ribosomal RNA". It matches the Rfam family "Bacterial small subunit ribosomal RNA", at positions 28 to 507 of the family's 1533-position model. The record is from RNAcentral.
GAUGGACGCUGGCGGCGUGCCUAAUACAUGCAAGUCGAGCGAACGGACGAGAAGCUUGCUUCUCUGAUGUUAGCGGCGGACGGGUGAGUAACACGUGGAUAACCUACCUAUAAGACUGGGAUAACUUCGGGAAACCGGAGCUAAUACCGGAUAAUAUUUUGAACCGCAUGGUUCAAAAGUGAAAGACGGUCUUGCUGUCACUUAUAGAUGGAUCCGCGCUGCAUUAGCUAGUUGGUAAGGUAACGGCUUACCAAGGCAACGAUGCAUAGCCGACCUGAGAGGGUGAUCGGCCACACUGGAACUGAGACACGGUCCAGACUCCUACGGGAGGCAGCAGUAGGGAAUCUUCCGCAAUGGGCGAAAGCCUGACGGAGCAACGCCGCGUGAGUGAUGAAGGUCUUCGGAUCGUAAAACUCCGUUAUUAGGGAAGAACAUAUGUGUAAGUAACUGUGCACAUCUUGACGGUACCUAAUCAGAAAGCCACGGCUAACUACGUG